Molecule: ribosomal RNA, 493 nt
Filed under: uncultured bacterium
Lineage: Bacteria
Description: bacterial SSU rRNA
Rfam family: Bacterial small subunit ribosomal RNA
Source: RNAcentral
UCAUGGCUCAGAUUGAACGCUGCGGCAUGCCUUACACAUGCAAGUCGAACGGCAGCACGGGGCAACCUGGUGGCGAGUGGGCGAACGGGUGAGUAAUGCAUCGGAACGUGCCAUUGAGUGGGGGGUAACGUAGCGAAAGUUACGCUAAUACCGCAUAUUCUGUGAGCAGGAAAGCAGGGGAUCGCAAGACCUUGCGCUCUUUGAGCGGCCGAUGUCAGAUUAGCUAGUUGGUGAGGUAACGGCUUACCAAGGCGACGAUCUGUAGCGGGUCUGAGAGGAUGAUCCGCCACACUGGAACUGAGACACGGUCCAGACUCCUACGGGAGGCAGCAGUGGGGAAUUUUGGACAAUGGGGGCAACCCUGAUCCAGCCAUGCCGCGUGAGUGAAGAAGGCCUUCGGGUUGUAAAGCUCUUUCGGCCGGGAAGAAAUCGCAUGGGUUAAUACCCUGUGUGGAUGACGGUACCGGCAUAAGAAGCACCGGCUAACUACGUG